RNAcentral lists this ribosomal RNA (443 nucleotides) under uncultured Prevotella sp. RNAcentral's name for it is "bacterial SSU rRNA". It matches the Rfam family "Bacterial small subunit ribosomal RNA", at positions 355 to 794 of the family's 1533-position model. Lineage: Bacteria; Pseudomonadati; Bacteroidota; Bacteroidia; Bacteroidales; Prevotellaceae. The record is from RNAcentral.
UGAGGAAUAUUGGUCAAUGGGCGAAAGCCUGAACCAGCCAAGUAGCGUGCAGGAUGACGGCCCUACGGGUUGUAAACUGCUUUUAGGCGGGGGUAAAGGAGCGGACGUGUUCCGCUUUUGCAAGUACCGCCAGAAAAAGGACCGGCUAAUUCCGUGCCAGCAGCCGCGGUAAUACGGAAGGUCCGGGCGUUAUCCGGAUUUAUUGGGUUUAAAGGGAGCGUAGGCCGGAGAUUAAGCGUGUUGUGAAAUGUAGUGGCUCAACCUCUGCACUGCAGCGCGAACUGGUCUUCUUGAGUACGCACAACGUGGGCGGAAUUCGUGGUGUAGCGGUGAAAUGCUUAGAUAUCACGAAGAACUCCGAUUGCGAAGGCAGCUCACGGGAGCGCAACUGACGCUGAAGCUCGAAAGUGCGGGUAUCGAACAGGAUUAGAUACCCUGGUAGU